RNAcentral lists this ribosomal RNA (614 nucleotides) under uncultured bacterium. Its description in RNAcentral is "bacterial SSU rRNA". The stretch from base 1 to 481 matches the Rfam family "Bacterial small subunit ribosomal RNA", at positions 338 to 873 of the family's 1533-position model. The record is from RNAcentral.
CCUACGGGAGGCAGCAGUAAGGAAUAUUGGUCAAUGGAGGCAACUCUGAACCAGCCAUGCCGCGUGCAGGAUGACGGCCCUAUGGGUUGUAAACUGCUUUUAUACAAGAGAAAACCCUGGUACGUGUACCAGGUUGAUAGUAUUGUAAGAAUAAGCAUCGGCUAACUUCGUGCCAGCAGCCGCGGUAAGACGAAGGAUGCAAGCGUUAUCCGGAUUCAUUGGGUUUGAAGGGUGCGUAGGCGGACUGAUAAGUCAGUGGUGAAAUCUCUUUGCUUAACAAAGAAACUGCCAUUGAUACUGUCGGUCUAGAGUAUAGAUGACGUUGGCGGAAUAUGACAUGUAGUGGUGAAAUACUUAGAUAUGUCAUAGAACACCGAUUGCGAAGGCAGCUAACGAAACUAUAACUGACGCUGAGGCACGAAAGUGCGGGGAUCAAACAGGAUUAGAUACCCUGGUAGUCCGCACCGUAACGANANAUACUCUGUGUGNUAUNNAGNGNGCGACCGACGACGAAGACGAGUAAGUAAUACUUACGUUGGUAGGUUACGGCCGGCGACGGAGACGACGAGGAGUUAGACGGCGAGAGAGCGACGGACGACGACGAGGAGGAGGAG